CCUACGGGUGGCAGCAGUGAGGAAUAUUGGUCAAUGGACGAGAGUCUGAACCAGCCAAGUAGCGUGAAGGAUGACUGCCCUAUUGGUUGUAAACUUCUUUUAUAUGGGACUAAACUGUUCCACGUGUGGGAUUUUGUAUGUCCCAUAUGAAUAAGGAUCGGCUACCUCCGUGCCAGCAGCCGCGGUAAUACGGAGGAUCCGAGCUUUAUCCGGAUUUAUUGGGUGUAAAGGGAGCGUAGGUGGAUUGUUAAGUCAGUUGUGAAAGUUUGCGGCUCAACCGUAAAAUUGCAGUUGAAACUGGCAGUCUUGAGUACAGUAGAGGUGGGCGGAAUUCGUGGUGUAGCGGUGAAAUGCUUAGAUAUCACGAAGAACUCCGAUUGCGAAGGCAGUUCACUGGACUGCAACUGACACUGAGGCUCGAAAGUGUGGGUAUCAAACAGGAUUAGAUACCCCAGUAGUC
RNAcentral lists this ribosomal RNA (460 nucleotides) under uncultured bacterium. Its description in RNAcentral is "partial 16S ribosomal RNA". It matches the Rfam family "Bacterial small subunit ribosomal RNA", at positions 338 to 795 of the family's 1533-position model. The record is from RNAcentral.